CCUACGGGAGGCAGCAGUGAGGAAUAUUGGUCAAUGGACGAGAGUCUGAACCAGCCACGUAGCGUGAAGGAUGACUGCCCUAUGGGUGGUAAACUUCUUUUAUAAAGGAAUAAAACGCGGCACGUGUGCCUUUUUGCAUGUACUUUAUGAAUAAGGAUCGGCUAACUCCGUGCCAGCAGCCGCGGUAAUCCGGAGGUUCCGAGCGUUAUCCGGAUUUAUUGGGUUUAAAGGGAGCGUAGAUGGGUUGUUAAGUCAGUUGUGAAAGUUUGCGGCUCAACCGUAAAAUUGCAAUUGAUACUGGCAGUCUUGAGUACAGUUGAGGUAGGCGGAAUUCGUGGUGUAGCGGUGAAAUGCUUAGAUAUCACGAAGAACCCCGAUUGCGAAGGCAGCUUACUAAACUGUGACUGACAUUGAUGCUCGAAAGUGUGGGUAUCAAACAGGAUUAGAUACCCUUGUAGUC
Molecule: ribosomal RNA, 460 nt
Filed under: uncultured bacterium
Lineage: Bacteria
Description: partial 16S ribosomal RNA
Rfam family: Bacterial small subunit ribosomal RNA
Source: RNAcentral